UAGAGAUACUUCAAAGUUACUGUGCCUAUGUGUGACGUGUAGGAAGCACCAUGACGACUUGCAUGGUGAAACCGUUGAUCUGCUCAUGUUUAUCAAUGAAAUUAUCAUUUACAGUCUGGCGACGGCUGGCUGGACGUGAAAGGGACUUCUCGCAAAGAUGGGCGUAUAGCACCGUUGUCAGCUGUCCCGUGUGGAUUUUGCACACGGAGUGGCAGAUCUUUAACUAGGAUGAAAUAAUAGCUGAUCAAUUAUCGGUCUUUGAACUACAAGCGUAAAUACUUUAUGAACGCAAGCUAACCGUACUGGUGGCGUAAUGGUGUUCGUGGGUCAAAAUUAUAAAUGCUUUGUGAAAUGAAGUUCUAUCGAUCAUCCUCUAUCGAAUAAGUUCUGCCUCGAUGAUGCCAUCCAGUGAUGAAGCACAAAGCGCCACCUAGAUGAUGCUACCUCGAACUUAAAGCUCUGAAAAACAAAUUUGGAAACAGUUUCCAGAUUACCACGACAAUUACUGGCUACAUACGUUAAUCGAUAAUCAUGCCAUUCAAUGAUCAAAUGAACCUAAGGAACAUACGACGAUGCCUGUGUUGCAAGGCUUCGCUUAAAAUUGCCCCUUCUACUACAUUUGAUGUCAGUUGAAAACGAAUGUGGUGUAUUGCACGUACAGUUUGUGGAACGUUAGUCAUAGACGGUUGCCGCAUACGAGACAAGGUACAAUCUCUGGCGCCAGCCGGAAAGGGACUAGUAGAGAGGACGAUUUCGCUCUGGGAAGGAUCCUAGUUCGUUAACGGUGACGGGUGAAUUCGGAUACCAGAUAAAGGUAGUACUGCUAAUGGACAGCGGCGGCACUUCCUAUUAUGAGGCGAAAAGGAAACAAUAAAGGCAGCUCGUCAUUUUCGCUAUUUCGCUUAGAUUUUGUAGGAGACUCAUGGACCAUCGGCUUCUAUUACUUUCUGAAUUGAACAAAGGGAUAUUUUCACGUGCGUCUUAACCCGCUUAUUCUCUUAGAAUGUAAGUCUGUGAUACAAAACUUUUAUGCUUCCAAAAAGACAGCUAACAGGUAGGCAUAUUCUACUAUAUAUCUCGAGAAGCUAUAAAUAGGAGGAUUGCUGGUAGAUUUAUGGCUGUCAAGAAGCUGCCAGAUCAUUGGAACAAGCAUUGUAGCCCAACUAGUUUUAAGUUCUUUUAAAGUUUUCAGUUUUAAGUUCAACCGACUCGCUUGUAACAGCUCACCAUUACAAAGUAAUAUCCAAGCCUUGCCAGUUAAAAUGAGACGGUCUGCAGUCAAAAUAUGUUGAAUAUGUAGAUUAACGGCCUCUGGUUCACUCUAUACGCAUGAAGAUGUUAGAAAAGAGAUGCUAAAAUGAUUUUGGUGAGAAAAUAAGUAUUAUAUUGGAAAAUUUUGGCCUGGCAUUGAAUCCGAUCACGUUGAUAUCACCACUAGUUACUAUAUUAUUGAAGGGAAAUGUGAAUA
Molecule: long non-coding RNA, 1468 nt
Organism: Varroa destructor (honeybee mite)
Lineage: Eukaryota; Metazoa; Arthropoda; Arachnida; Mesostigmata; Varroidae
Source: RefSeq, a predicted model, not a curated record